UACGGAGGUUGCAAGCGUUGUUCGGAAUAACUGGGCGUAAAGGGAGCGCAGGCGGUCUCGUAAGUCUAAAGUGAAAUGCCAGGGCUCAACCUUGGACGUGCUUUGGAUACUGCAAGACUUGAGUACGUGAGAGGAGAGUGGAAUUCCAGGUGUAGCGGUGAAAUGCGUAGAUAUCUGGAGGAACACCGGUGGCGAAAGCGGCUCUCUGGCACGUUACUGACGCUGAGGCUCGAAAGCGUGGGGAGCGAACGGGAUUAGAAACCCUAGUAGUCC
RNAcentral lists this ribosomal RNA (273 nucleotides) under uncultured prokaryote. RNAcentral describes it as "partial 16S ribosomal RNA". It matches the Rfam family "Bacterial small subunit ribosomal RNA", at positions 524 to 796 of the family's 1533-position model. The record is from RNAcentral.